UGCAGUCGAGCGCUCUCUUCGGAGGGAGCGGCGGACGGGUUAGUAACGCGUGGGAACGUACCCAGAUCUAAGGAAUAGCCACUGGAAACGGUGAGUAAUACCUUAUACGCCCUUCGGGGGAAAGAUUUAUCGGAUUUGGAUCGGCCCGCGUUAGAUUAGAUAGUUGGUGGGGUAACGGCCUACCAAGUCUACGAUCUAUAGCUGGUUUUAGAGGAUGAUCAGCAACACUGGGACUGAGACACGGCCCAGACUCCUACGGGAGGCAGCAGUGGGGAAUCUUGGACAAUGGGCGCAAGCCUGAUCCAGCCAUGCCGCGUGAGUGAUGAAGGCCUUAGGGUCGUAAAGCUCUUUCGCCUGUGAAGAUAAUGACGGUAGCAGGUAAAGAAACCCCGGCUAACUCCGUGCCAGCAGCCGCGGUAAUACGGAGGGGGUUAGCGUUGUUCGGAAUUACUGGGCGUAAAGCGCACGUAGGCGGAUUGGAAAGUAUGGGGUGAAAUCCCAGGGCUCAACCCUGGAACUGCCUCAUAAACUCCCAGUCUUGAGUUCGAGAGAGGUGAGUGGAAUUCCGAGUGUAGAGGUGAAAUUCGUAGAUAUUCGGAGGAACACCAGUG
RNAcentral lists this ribosomal RNA (611 nucleotides) under Ruegeria sp. RNAcentral's name for it is "bacterial SSU rRNA". It matches the Rfam family "Bacterial small subunit ribosomal RNA", at positions 56 to 714 of the family's 1533-position model. Lineage: Bacteria; Pseudomonadati; Pseudomonadota; Alphaproteobacteria; Rhodobacterales; Roseobacteraceae. The record is from RNAcentral.